AGAAUCAACGCUGGCGGCGUGCCUAACACAUGCAAGUCGAACGCGGUUACCCCGCAAGGGGUAACUGAGUGGCGAACGGGAGAGUAACACGUGGGUGACCUACCUUCGAAUGGGGGAUAACGUCCCGAAAGGGACGCUAAUACCGCAUAACAUCCUGCCUUUGAACAGGCGGAGAUCAAAGCCGGGGAUCGCAAGACCUGGCGUUUGAAGAGGGGCCCGCGUCCGAUUAGCUAGUUGGUGAGGUAACGGCUCACCAAGGCGACGAU
This 266-nucleotide ribosomal RNA is filed under the name uncultured soil bacterium. Its description in RNAcentral is "partial 16S ribosomal RNA". It matches the Rfam family "Bacterial small subunit ribosomal RNA", at positions 26 to 280 of the family's 1533-position model. The record is from RNAcentral.